RNAcentral lists this ribosomal RNA (581 nucleotides) under uncultured Pantoea sp. RNAcentral describes it as "bacterial SSU rRNA". It matches the Rfam family "Bacterial small subunit ribosomal RNA", at positions 102 to 679 of the family's 1533-position model. Lineage: Bacteria; Pseudomonadati; Pseudomonadota; Gammaproteobacteria; Enterobacterales; Erwiniaceae. The record is from RNAcentral.
ACGGGUGAGUAAUGUCUGGGGAUCUGCCCGAUAGAGGGGGAUAACCACUGGAAACGGUGGCUAAUACCGCAUAACGUCGCAAGACCAAAGAGGGGGACCUUCGGGCCUCUCACUAUCGGAUGAACCCAGAUGGGAUUAGCUAGUAGGCGGGGUAAUGGCCCACCUAGGCGACGAUCCCUAGCUGGUCUGAGAGGAUGACCAGCCACACUGGAACUGAGACACGGUCCAGACUCCUACGGGAGGCAGCAGUGGGGAAUAUUGCACAAUGGGCGCAAGCCUGAUGCAGCCAUGCCGCGUGUAUGAAGAAGGCCUUCGGGUUGUAAAGUACUUUCAGCGGGGAGGAAGGCGAUGGGGUUAAUAACCCUGUCGAUUGACGUUACCCGCAGAAGAGGCACCGGCUAACUCCGUGCCAGCAGCCGCGGUAAUACGGAGGGUGCAAGCGUUAAUCGGAAUUACUGGGCGUAAAGCGCACGCAGGCGGUCUGUUAAGUCAGAUGUGAAAUCCCCGGGCUUAACCUGGGAACUGCAUUUGAAACUGGCAGGCUUGAGUCUUGUAGAGGGGGGUAGAAUUCCAGGUGUAGC